UCCGUAGUGAACCUGCGGAGGGAUCAUUGC
RNAcentral lists this ribosomal RNA (30 nucleotides) under Dothiorella sp. 'aegiceri'. Its description in RNAcentral is "Dothiorella aegiceri partial 18S ribosomal RNA". The record is from RNAcentral. Lineage: Eukaryota; Fungi; Ascomycota; Dothideomycetes; Botryosphaeriales; Botryosphaeriaceae.